GGCGCAUCSBBSSACAGCAGUCGAACGCAGCGCGGGCUUCGGCUGGCGGCGAGUGGCGAACGGGUGAGUAAUGCAUCGGAACGUGCCCAGUAGUGGGGGAUAGCCCGGCGAAAGCGAUUUAAUACCGCAUACGACCUGAGGGUGAAAGCGGGGGACCGAAAGGCCUCGCGCUAUUGGAGCSGCCGAUGUCGGAUUAGCUAGUUGGUGGGGUAAAGGCUUACCAAGGCGACGAUCCGUAGCUGGUCUUAGAGGACGACCAGCCACACUGGGACUGAGACACGGCCCAGACUUCUACGGGAGGAAGCAGUUGGGAAUUUUGGACAAUUGGGGGCAACCC
RNAcentral lists this ribosomal RNA (337 nucleotides) under Leptothrix sp. CA-20. RNAcentral's name for it is "bacterial SSU rRNA". It matches the Rfam family "Bacterial small subunit ribosomal RNA", at positions 47 to 383 of the family's 1533-position model. Lineage: Bacteria; Pseudomonadati; Pseudomonadota; Betaproteobacteria; Burkholderiales; Sphaerotilaceae. The record is from RNAcentral.